UUUUAAUUGGGGGAUGGUAUGAAGGGUGAUAUGAGUAAAAUUAAUGUUUCGGUCACAAUUUUUGAAGUUAAUUUUUAAGUUAAAAAGCUUAAAUAAAGUUUAGGGACAAGAAGACCCUAUAAAGUUUAAUUUUCAAAUUUAAUUUAAUAAAAAUCGUAAAUUUAGUUGGGGCAACAUCAUAAGAAAAAAUUUUAUGAUAAUAUAUUUUUGAUCCACUUAUUAGUGAACAAUGAAUAAAUUACUUUAGGGAUAACAGCACAAUUAAAGUUUUAAAGUUCUUAUUUGCAACUUUGAUUAUGACCUCGAUGUUG
RNAcentral lists this ribosomal RNA (311 nucleotides) under Cyphophthalmus sp. 7 JM-2009. RNAcentral describes it as "partial 16S ribosomal RNA". Lineage: Eukaryota; Metazoa; Arthropoda; Arachnida; Opiliones; Sironidae. The record is from RNAcentral.